CUCAAGGCCAAAGACAGGCUGGUGGGAAAGCUCCGACCAGCAAGGCCCUAUGCUCCCCCUCCCCUACCGAAAACCCCAAAUAAAAACCCUUCCUUUUAGCUUUUUCGGGGAGUUUGGGAUUUCAGUGUUAGCUGCCCUCUCUCCUUGCUCAGCGCUGUGCAAAAAGAAAGUUCCUACUUUCUUCCACCACCCCUGGUGUCAGAGAUUGGCUUGCUGCGCGACGGGACCGGCCGGGAACAAUGGGUACCUUGGCAGCCCUCUGGGCUCCGUUUGUUUUGAAGUCGCCGCAACGCCCUGGCCAAAUUUUGGACACAAUUGGAAACACUGGUUAUAUUACCAAGACUUUGACUGGAAUAUCAUAUUUAAAAAGAACAUACAGGCUUGGAUAUAACACGACAGCUUUUGAGGAAUGAAGGUUGACAUUCUGGAAUAAAGCCACUUGGAAAUAUUGGCCUGAAAAACUUCUUAUUAAAUACCUGGUUACUUACUUACAUGAUACAGGCCCACCUUCAGGAGCCCGCCAGCAUCACUGCCUUAUUAAAAGACUGGUUCAAUGAGAGGAAACAACCUACGCCCCAUUUCAGCAGGAAGUAGCUAGAUUGGUCGCCGCCCCAAAUCCCUCAAGAUUGAGGGACGGACAUAAAAUAGGGGGGAGUUGAUAUCGACCCUGAUAUCAGUUUCCCCACACUAAACCCAGCAUAUAUGGGGUUAAAACCAAAACACUCAUUCCCUGCUUACUCUCUGGCUUCCUGGCUCCAGAAUCCACUAUGCUGCAUGGAGACAGACACCGUCAAGGACAAGCACCUGGACUAUCUCCUCCCCACAAAGAGAUACAGACUGGUGGGAAAGCUUCUGACCAGCAAGGUCAUGAGCUCCCUCCUCUCUGCAAGUGUCUCAAGGCCAAAGACAGGCUGGUGGGAAAGCUCCGACCAGCAAGGCCCUAUGCUCCCCCUCCCCUACCGAAAACCCCAAAUAAAAACCCUUCCUUUUAGCUUUUUCGGGGAGUUUGGGAUUUCAGUGUUAGCUGCCCUCUCUCCUUGCUCAGUGCUGUGCAAAAAAGAAAGUUCCUACUUUCUUCCACCACCCCUGGUGUCAGAGAUUGGCUUGCUGCAUGAUGGGUGAGUGAACUCACUUCAGGUUCGGUAACAUUUCUAAAUAUCAGACCAUCUACAAGGCUGAUUUGGUGGAUAAGGUGAAUCCACAUUUAUUCAACAAUUAGGGUGCUGUGUUAUAAAUGUUGUGUUUAAGCCAGGUAUGUAAGAACAAAUAAUUAUUUGGAACACGUUUUUUUAAUAGUGAAAGACAAAAAGAAGAAAGGAGGGGGCCCCCUUAAGAAUUGUAAAGAUUGAAAUGUUUUGAAUUACAGGACACUCUCAGGAUUAUUCAUAACAUAGUAAAGUAAUAAUUUUUAUUUUGA
Molecule: long non-coding RNA, 1417 nt
Filed under: Equus asinus (donkey)
Lineage: Eukaryota; Metazoa; Chordata; Mammalia; Perissodactyla; Equidae
Description: lncRNA (ENSEASG00005033335.1)
Source: RNAcentral